RNAcentral lists this non-coding RNA (45 nucleotides) under Trichobilharzia regenti. The record is from RNAcentral. Lineage: Eukaryota; Metazoa; Platyhelminthes; Trematoda; Strigeidida; Schistosomatidae.
ACCCAGCUGAGGAGUCUCAAAUAAGACGAAGUGAGCAUCUUGCGU